UACAGAGGUCUCAAGCGUUGUUCGGAUUCAUUGGGCGUAAAGGGUGUGUAGGUGGCGCCGUAAGUCGGGUGUGAAAUUUCGGAGCUUAACUCCGAAACUGCAUUCGAUACUGCGGUGCUUGAGGACUGGAGAGGAGACUGGAAUUCAUGGUGUAGCAGUGAAAUGCGUAGAGGUCAUGAGGAAGACCAGUGGCGAAGGCGGCCUACUGGGCCGGACCUGACGCUGAGACGCGAAGGCGUGGGGAGCGAACGGG
Molecule: ribosomal RNA, 253 nt
Filed under: uncultured bacterium
Lineage: Bacteria
Description: partial 16S ribosomal RNA
Rfam family: Bacterial small subunit ribosomal RNA
Source: RNAcentral